UCAAGUGUCAAAAGGGCAUUUGGUGGAUGCCUUGGCAUGCACAGGCGAUGAAGGACGUGAUACGCUGCGAUAAGCCGUGGGGAGCUGCGAAUAAGCUUUGAUCCAUGGAUCUCCGAAUGGGGGAACCCACCUUAAAUGCUUGGAAAAUUUAAGUCGUGCGCAAGUACGGCUUAGGUUUCCAAGCAUUGUUUAAAGGUAUCUUAUCCUGAAUACAUAGGGGUAAGAAGCGAACGCAGGGAACUGAAACAUCUAAGUACCUGCAGGAAAGGACAUCAACCGAGACUCCGCAAGUAGUGGCGAGCGAACGCGGACCAGGCCAGUGGCAAUGAGGAAUAAAGUGGAACGACAUGGAAAGGUCGGCCGUAGAGGGUGAUAGCCCCUUACACGUAGAACACUCAUUGUCCUUGAGUAAGGCGGGACACGUGAAAUCCUGUCUGAACAUGGGGAGACCACUCUCCAAGCCUAAGUACUCGUGCAUGACCGAUAGCGAACAAGUACCGUGAGGGAAAGGUGAAAAGCACCCCGACAAGGGGAGUGAAAUAGAACCUGAAACCGGAUGCCUACAAACAGUUGGAGCCCGCAAGGGUGACAGCGUACCUUUUGUAUAAUGGGUCAACGACUUAGUGUGACGAGCAAGCUUAAGCCGAUAGGUGAAGGCGCAGCGAAAGCGAGUCUGAACAGGGCGUUCAGUUCGUCGCAUUAGACCCGAAACCGAGUGAUCUAGCCAUGAGCAGGUUGAAGGUUGGGUAACACCAACUGGAGGACCGAACCCGCAUCUGUUGCAAUAGAUUGGGAUGACUUGUGGUUAGGGGUGAAAGGCCAAUCAAACUCGGAAAUAGCUGGUUCUCCGCGAAAACUAUUUAGGUAGUGCGUCGACCGAAUACCCUCGGGGGUAGAGCACUGGAUGGGCUAUGGGGACUCACCGUCUUACUGAUCCUAACCAAACUCCGAAUACCGAGGAGUACUAGUCGGCAGACACACGGCGGGUGCUAACGUCCGUCGUGAAAAGGGCAACAACCCUGACCUCCAGCUAAGGUCCCCAAGUCAUGGCUAAGUGGGAAAGGAUGUGAGGAUCCCAAAACAACCAGGAUGUUGGCUUAGAAGCAGCCAUCAUUUAAAGAAAGCGUAACAGCUCACUGGUCUAAAUAAGGGUCUUUGCGCCGAAAAUGUAACGGGGCUAAAGCCAUGCACCGAAGCUGAGGAUACGUCGCAAGACGUGUGGUAGCGGAGCGUUCCGUAAGCCUGUGAAGGGAUACCCGUGAGGGGUCCUGGAGGUAUCGGAAGUGCGAAUGUUGACAUGAGUAACGAUAAAGAGGGUGAGAGACCCUCUCGCCGAAAGACCAAGGGUUCCUGCUUAAAGUUAAUCUGAGCAGGGUUAGCCGGCCCCUAAGACGAGGCGGACACGCGUAGUCGAUGGGAACCACGUUAAUAUUCGUGGGCCUGGUGGUAGUGACGGAUCGCUUAACUUGUUCACACUUAUUGGAUUGUGUGGGCGGGGACGCGGUUCCAGGAAAUAGCUCCACCGUAUAGACCGUACCCGAAACCGACACAGGUGGUCAGGUAGAGUAUACCAAGGCGCUUGAGAGAACUAUGCUGAAGGAACUCGGCAAAUUGCACGCGUAACUUCGGAAGAAGCGUGACCCCAAGGGACGCAAGUCUGUUGGGGUGGCACAGACCAGGGGGUAGCGACUGUUUAUCAAAAACACAGGGCUCUGCGAAGUCGCAAGACGACGUAUAGGGUCUGACGCCUGCCCGGUGCUGGAAGGUUAAGAGGAGGGGUGCAAGCUCUGAAUCGAAGCCCCAGUAAACGGCGGCCGUAACUAUAACGGUCCUAAGGUAGCGAAAUUCCUUGUCGGGUAAGUUCCGACCUGCACGAAUGGCGUAACGACUUCCCCGCUGUCUCCAGCAUAGACUCAGUGAAAUUGAAUUCCCCGUGAAGAUGCGGGGUUCCUGCGGUCAGACGGAAAGACCCCGUGCACCUUUACUAUAGCUUUACACUGGCAUUCGUGUCGGCAUGU
Molecule: ribosomal RNA, 2018 nt
Filed under: Macrocentrus cingulum
Lineage: Eukaryota; Metazoa; Arthropoda; Insecta; Hymenoptera; Braconidae
Description: bacterial LSU rRNA
Rfam family: Bacterial large subunit ribosomal RNA
Source: RNAcentral